CCCUUAGAUGUUCUGGGCGGCCCGCGCACCACAUUGGCACUAGCAAAGAGAUCCUAGAUUGAAUUCUUUGGGGUAUUCUUCUAAAUGGUGUCGUGACUGGGAUAAAUCCUUGUAAUUAUUGGUUUUGAACGAGGAAUUCCUUGUAAUCGCGGUUUAUCAGCUCGCGUUGAAUGCGUCCCUGCCCUUUGUACACACCGCCCGUCGCUCCUACCGAUGGAUCGUCCGGUGAAGCUCACGGAGUGACUGUUCACGCAACGGUUUACGAAGUGAAAUGGACCUCACGAUUUAGAGGAAGGAGAAGUCGUAACA
This 309-nucleotide ribosomal RNA is filed under the name uncultured eukaryote. RNAcentral describes it as "partial 18S ribosomal RNA". It matches the Rfam family "Eukaryotic small subunit ribosomal RNA", at positions 1470 to 1796 of the family's 1831-position model. The record is from RNAcentral.